Non-coding RNA from Chelonoidis abingdonii (Abingdon island giant tortoise), 125 nucleotides. NCBI's taxonomy places the organism in Eukaryota, Metazoa, Chordata, Testudines, Testudinidae. The record is from RefSeq and is a predicted model, not a curated record.
AUGGUGUAGGUGAUAAUAGUCCCACUUUGUCACAGGUGCAUGUGAUGGGAUGGAGGAGUCAGCGUGCAGGACGGGGUACUGUUGGUGAAGGUGAUAGGGCACAAGUGCGGGUGAUGGGGUGGAUG